AGACCGGGAGAGGUCGGAGGUACUCUUGGGGUAGCGGUGAAAUGCUGUAAUCCUGGGGGGACCACCAGUGGCGAAGGCGUCCGACCAGAACGGAUCUGACGGUGAGGGGCGAAGGCUAGGGGAGCGAACGGGAUUAGAUACCCCGGUAGUCCUAGCUGUAAAGCAUGCGGGCCAGGUGUCUAGCGCUCCUUGAGGGCGCUAUGUGCCGGAGGGAAGCCGUUAAGCCCGCCGCCUGGGAAGUACGGCCGCAAGGCUGAAACUUAAAGAAAUUGGCGGGGGAGCACCACAAGGGGUGGAACCUGCGGUUCAAUUGGAUUCARCGCCGGACAACUCACCAGGGGCGACAGUUGGUUGAAGGCCAGGUUGACGACUUUGCUGGACUAGCUGAGAGGUGGUGCAUGGCCAUCGUCAGCUCGUACCGUGAGGCGUCCUGUUAAGUCAGGCAACGAGCGAGAUCCUCGCCCCUAGUUGCCAUCGGUGGGAAGCCGGGCACUCUAGGGGGACCGCUGGCGCUAAGUCAGAGGAAGGAGAGGGCGACGGUAGGUCAGUAUGCCCCGAAUCCCCUGGGCUACACGCGGGUUACAAUGCGCAGGACAAUGAGAUGCAACCCCGUAAGGGGGAGCCAAGCCCCUAAACCUGCGCUCGGUUCGGAUCGAGGGCUGUAACUCGCCCUCGUGAAGCUGGAAUCCCUAGUAAUCGCGUGCCAACACCGCGCGGUGAAUGCGUCCCUGCUCCUUGCACACACCGCCCGUCAAGCCACUCGAGUGGGGUCCGGAUGAGGUCAGUUCAAGUUGGRCUGCUCGAAUCCGAGUUCUGCAAGAGGGGCU
Molecule: ribosomal RNA, 827 nt
Filed under: uncultured archaeon
Lineage: Archaea
Description: bacterial SSU rRNA
Rfam family: Archaeal small subunit ribosomal RNA
Source: RNAcentral